UACGGAGGGUGCAAACGUUGCUCGGAAUCAUUGGGCGUAAAGCGCACGUAGGCGGCGGCAUAAGCGGAAUGUGAAAGCCCAGGGCUCAACCUUGGAAGUGCAUCCCGAACUGUGUCGCUUGAAUCUCGGAGGGGGACAGAGAAUUCCCGGUGUAGAGGUGAUAUUCGUAGAUAUCGGGAGGAAUACCAGUGGCGAAGGCGCUGUCCUGGACGAAGAUUGACGCUGAGGUGCGAAAGUGCGGGGAGCAAACGGG
This 253-nucleotide ribosomal RNA is filed under the name uncultured bacterium. RNAcentral describes it as "partial 16S ribosomal RNA". It matches the Rfam family "Bacterial small subunit ribosomal RNA", at positions 524 to 776 of the family's 1533-position model. The record is from RNAcentral.